GCAAUGGUGGUUCUGUGGUAGAAUUCUUACCCUGCACGUGGGAGACCCAGGUUCAAUUCCCAGCCACUGCA
Molecule: transfer RNA, 71 nt
Filed under: Loxodonta africana (African savanna elephant)
Lineage: Eukaryota; Metazoa; Chordata; Mammalia; Proboscidea; Elephantidae
Rfam family: tRNA
About the family: Transfer RNA (tRNA) molecules are approximately 80 nucleotides in length. Their secondary structure includes four short double-helical elements and three loops (D, anti-codon, and T loops). Further hydrogen bonds mediate the characteristic L-shaped molecular structure. tRNAs have two regions of fundamental functional importance: the anti-codon, which is responsible for specific mRNA codon recognition, and the 3' end, to which the tRNAs corresponding amino acid is attached (by aminoacyl-tRNA synthetases). tRNAs cope with the degeneracy of the genetic code in two manners: having more than one tRNA (with a specific anti-codon) for a particular amino acid; and 'wobble' base-pairing, i.e. permitting non-standard base-pairing at the 3rd anti-codon position.
Source: Rfam by way of RNAcentral